GUACUUUCAAAUUCAUUCUAUGAGGCCAACAUCACCCUGAUUCCAAAACCAGAUAAAGACACUUCAAAGAAAGAAAACUUCAGACCAAUAUCCCUAAUGAAUAUAGAUGCAAAAAUCCUCAAUAAAAUUCUGGCAAAUCGGAUACAAAAACAUAUCANCCAGAUAAAGACACUUCAAAGAAAGAAAACUUCAGACCAAUAUCCCUAAUGAAUUUAGAUGCAAAAAUCCUCAAUAAAAUUCUGGCAAAUCGGAUACAAAAACAUAUCAAAAAGAUCGUGCACCAUGACCAAGUGGGAUUCAUCCCUGGCAAGGCUGGUUCAAUAUACGGAAAUCAAUAAAUGUAAUUCACCACAUCAAUAGACUUAAAGAUAAGAACCAUAUGAUCAUCUCAAUAGAUGCUGAAAAAGCAU
Molecule: long non-coding RNA, 410 nt
Filed under: Marmota monax (woodchuck)
Lineage: Eukaryota; Metazoa; Chordata; Mammalia; Rodentia; Sciuridae
Source: RNAcentral